UAGGGAAUCUUCGGCAAUGGGGGCAACCCUGACCGAGCAACGCCGCGUGAGUGAAGAAGGUUUUCGGAUCGUAAAGCUCUGUUGUAAGUCAAGAACGGGUGUGAGAGUGGAAAGUUCACACUGUGACGGUAGCUUACCAGAAAGGGACGGCUAACUACGUGCCAGCAGCCGCGGUAAUACGUAGGUCCCGAGCGUUGUCCGGAGUUAUUGGGCGUAAAGCGAGCGCAGGCGGUUUGAUAAGUCUGAAGUUAAAGGCUGUGGCUCAACCAUAGUUCGCUUUGGAAACUGUCAAACUUGAGUGCAGAAGGGGAGAGUGGAAUUCCAUGUGUAGCGGUGAAAUGCGUAGAUAUAUGGAGGAACACCGGUGGCGAAAGCGGCUCUCUGGUCUGUAACUGACGCUGAGGCUCGAAAGCGUGGGGAGCGAACAGG
This 429-nucleotide ribosomal RNA is filed under the name bacterium. RNAcentral describes it as "partial 16S ribosomal RNA". It matches the Rfam family "Bacterial small subunit ribosomal RNA", at positions 355 to 776 of the family's 1533-position model. The record is from RNAcentral.